AGGACGAACGCUGGCGGCGUGCUUAACACAUGCAAGUCGAGCGGAAAGGCCCUUCGGGGUACUCGAGCGGCGAACGGGUGAGUAACACGUGAGCAACCUGCCCUUAGCUCCGGGAUAGCUCCGGGAAACCGGAAUUAAUACCGGAUACAACACCGGCCGACAUCGGCCGGUGUGGAAAGAAUUUCGGCUAGGGAUGGACUCGCGGCCUAUCAGCUAGUUGGUGGGGUAAAGGCCUACCAAGGCGACGACGGGUAGCCGGCCUGAGAGGGCGACCGGCCACGACUGGGACUGAGACACGGCCCAGACUCCUACGGGAGGCAGCAGUGGGGAAUCUUGCGCAAUGGGCGAAAGCCUGACGCAGCGACGCCGCGUGGGGGAUGAAGGCCUUCGGGUUGUAAACCCCUUUCAGCAGGGACGAAGCGAAGUGACGGUACCUGCAGAAGAAGCGCCGGCUAACUACGUGCCAACAGCCGC
This 474-nucleotide ribosomal RNA is filed under the name uncultured bacterium. Its description in RNAcentral is "SSU rRNA". It matches the Rfam family "Bacterial small subunit ribosomal RNA", at positions 26 to 518 of the family's 1533-position model. The record is from RNAcentral.